CAUUAGUUAGCAUCAUAACACCUUCCUACGCAAACAAAGCGGCGUCGUAUUGACUUCCUGGUGAACGCCCGACAUGUCCGCAGCUUGCUCACUUCUACUGGCUUGAUUCACUUGGUCCAAUUUGCAAGUGCUGCAGGCUUACAUAAGGUUGACAAUUUCAAACAAAGGGCCAAGUGACUAAGAUAAUGUCUAUGAACCCAUAGAUUCCUGUUUAUUCCACACUGCUUCCAAUGAAGAACUAAAAAUACACCGUGAAUAACAAAAGAUGGUUUUCAAGGAUGGACACUAGCUAGAAUAAUUGGAAAAAGAA
Molecule: long non-coding RNA, 310 nt
Organism: Capsicum annuum
Lineage: Eukaryota; Viridiplantae; Streptophyta; Magnoliopsida; Solanales; Solanaceae
Exons: 2
Source: RefSeq, a predicted model, not a curated record